AAAUGCACAGGCUGUGAACUCGAUGAGUAGGGCGGGACACGUGACAUCCUGUCUGAAUAUGGGGGGACCAUCCUCCAAGGCUAAAUACUCCUGACUGACCGAUAGUGAACCAGUACCGUGAGGGAAAGGCGAAAAGAACCCCGGCGAGGGGAGUGAAAUAGAACCUGAAACCGUGUACGUACAAGCAGUGGGAGCACCUUCGUGGUGUGACUGCGUACCUUUUGUAUAAUGGGUCAGCGACUUAUAUUUUGUAGCAAGGUUAACCGAAUAGGGGAGCCGUAGGGAAACCGAGUCUUAACUGGGCGUCUAGUUGCAAGGUAUAGACCCGAAACCCGGUGAUCUAGCCAUGGGCAGGUUGAAGGUUGGGUAACACUAACUGGAGGACCGAACCGACUAAUGUUGAAAAAUUAGCGGAUGACUUGUGGCUGGGGGUGAAAGGCCAAUCAAACCGGGAGAUAGCUGGUUCUCCCCGAAAGCUAUUUAGGUAGCGCCUCGUGAACUCAUCUUCGGGGGUAGAGCACUGUUUCGGCUAGGGGGCCAUCCCGGCUUACCAAACCGAUGCAAACUCCGAAUACCGAAGAAUGUUAUCACGGGAGACACACGGCGGGUGCUAACGUCCGUCGUGAAGAGGGAAACAACCCAGACCGCCAGCUAAGGUCCCAAAGUCAUGGUUAAGUGGGAAACGAUGUGGGAAGGCACAGACAGCCAGGAUGUUGGCUUAGAAGCAGCCAUCAUUUAAAGAAAGCGUAAUAGCUCACUGG
This 761-nucleotide ribosomal RNA is filed under the name Yersinia pestis. Its description in RNAcentral is "partial 23S ribosomal RNA". It matches the Rfam family "Bacterial large subunit ribosomal RNA", at positions 383 to 1148 of the family's 2925-position model. The record is from RNAcentral. Lineage: Bacteria; Pseudomonadati; Pseudomonadota; Gammaproteobacteria; Enterobacterales; Yersiniaceae.